This 493-nucleotide ribosomal RNA is filed under the name uncultured bacterium. RNAcentral's name for it is "partial 16S ribosomal RNA". It matches the Rfam family "Bacterial small subunit ribosomal RNA", at positions 28 to 507 of the family's 1533-position model. The record is from RNAcentral.
GACGAACGCUGGCGGCGUGCUUAACACAUGCAAGUCGACGCCGCUACUGAGUAGCAAUAUUUAGUAGUGGAGUGGCGCAAGGGUGAGUAAUGUAUACGUAACCAACCCAUCGGAGACGGAUAACAUUUCGAAAGGGAUGCUAAAACGGCAUGAAGCCAUGAUUUCGCAUGAGAUUGUGGUUAAAGAACCGGUAACAGGUUGCCGAUGGCUGGGCGUAUAUCCGAUUAGCUAGUUGGUAGUGUAAUGGACUACCAAGGCGACGAUCGGUAGCUGGUCUGAGAGGAUGAUCAGCCACACUGGAACUGAGACACGGGCCAGACGCCUACGGGAGGCAGCAGUGGGGAAUAUUGGGCAAUGCCCGCAAGGGUGACCCAGCAACGCCGCGUGGAGGAUGAAGGCCGUAAGGUUGUAAACUCUGACAAGCAGGGAAGAACGGCUAUGGUAAAAGGCCAUAGAAUGACGGUACCUGCCUGAAGCCCCGGCUAACUACGUG